This 520-nucleotide ribosomal RNA is filed under the name Solirubrobacteraceae bacterium. RNAcentral describes it as "bacterial SSU rRNA". It matches the Rfam family "Bacterial small subunit ribosomal RNA", at positions 1 to 521 of the family's 1533-position model. Lineage: Bacteria; Bacillati; Actinomycetota; Thermoleophilia; Solirubrobacterales; Solirubrobacteraceae. The record is from RNAcentral.
UUCACGGAGAGUUUGAUCCUGGCUCAGGACGAACGCUGGCGGCGUGCUUAACACAUGCAAGUGGAGCGACGAACCAGGGCUUGCCCUGGGGCAGAGCCGCGAACGGGUGAGUAACACGUGGGUUACCUGCCCUGAUGACCGGGACAACCCGUCGAAAGACGGGCUAAUACCGGAUGUGCCCUUCGGGGGAAAGGAAGCUUCGGCCUCCGCAUCAGGAUGGGCCCGCGGCCCAUUAGCUUGUUGGUGGGGUAACGGCCUACCAAGGCAACGAUGGGUAGCUGGUCUGAGAGGACGAUCAGCCACACUGGGACUGAGACACGGCCCAGACUCCUACGGGAGGCAGCAGUGGGGAAUCUUGCACAAUGCGCGAAAGCGUGAUGCAGCAACGCCGCGUGGGGGAAGACGGCCUUCGGGUUGUAAACCUCUUUCAGUUGGGACGAAGGUUCAACGGUGAAUAGCCGGCUGAACUGACGGUACCUUCAGAAGAAGCCCCGGCUAACUACGUGCCAGCAGCCGCGGU